RNAcentral lists this ribosomal RNA (207 nucleotides) under uncultured bacterium. RNAcentral's name for it is "partial 16S ribosomal RNA". It matches the Rfam family "Bacterial small subunit ribosomal RNA", at positions 568 to 774 of the family's 1533-position model. The record is from RNAcentral.
UACGUAGGCGGUUUAUUAAGUCAGAUGUGAAAGCCCCGGGCUUAACCUGGGAACUGCAUUUGAUACUGGUAAACUAGAGUAUGGUAGAGGGGGGUAGAAUUCCUAGUGUAGCGGUGAAAUGCGUAGAUAUUAGGAGGAAUACCAGUGGCGAAGGCGGCCCCCUGGACCAAUACUGACGCUGAGGUACGAAAGCGUGGGUAGCGAAUA